GACGAACGCUGGCGGCGUGCUUAACACAUGCAAGUCGAACGGAAAGGCCUUCUUUUUUUGGGUUCCCGAGUUGCGAACCGGGUAGUAACACGUGAGUUACCUUCCCCUUACUUUUGGAUUACUUCAGGAAACUUGGGCCAAUACCGGAUUAGAGCUCCUUCUGCCUUGGUGGGGUUGGAAAGUUUGGGCGGUUGGGGAUGGACUCGCGGCUUAUCAGCUUGUUGGUGGGGUAGUGGCUUCCAAAGGCUUUGACGGGGAGCCGGCCUUGGGGGGUGCCCGGCAACAUGGGGAUUGGGAUCCGGCCCAGACUCCUACGGGAGGAAGAAGUGGGGAAUAUUGAAAAAUGGGCGGAAGCCUGAUGCAGAAACGCGGCGUGCGGGAUGACGGCUUUCGGGUUGUAACCCGCUUCCGCCUGUGACGAAGCGUGGGUGACGGUAAUGGGUAAAGAAGCACCGGCUAAUUACGU
RNAcentral lists this ribosomal RNA (466 nucleotides) under uncultured bacterium. RNAcentral's name for it is "partial 16S ribosomal RNA". It matches the Rfam family "Bacterial small subunit ribosomal RNA", at positions 28 to 506 of the family's 1533-position model. The record is from RNAcentral.